Molecule: ribosomal RNA, 275 nt
Filed under: uncultured bacterium
Lineage: Bacteria
Description: partial 16S ribosomal RNA
Rfam family: Bacterial small subunit ribosomal RNA
Source: RNAcentral
AUACGAAGGGGGCAAGCGUUGUUCGGAAUAACUGGGCGUAAAGCGCACGUAGGCGGAAUGUUAAGUUAGAGGUGAAAUCCCAGGGCUCAACCCUGGAACGGCCUUUAAUACUGGCAAUCUAGAGACCGAGAGAGGUGAGUGGAAUUCCGAGUGUAGAGGUGAAAUUCGUAGAUAUUCGGAGGAACACCAGUGGCGAAGGUGGCUCACUGGCUCGGUACUGACGCUGAGGUGCGAAAGCGUGGGGAGCAAACAGGAUUAGAAACCCUAGUAGUCCC